CCUACGGAAGGCAGCAGUGGGGAAUAUUGGACAAUGGGGGGAACCCUGAUCCAGCCAUGCCGCGUGUGUGAAGAAGGCCCUCGGGUUGUAAAGCACUUUCAGUGAGGAAGAACGCCUGGUGGUUAAUACCCAUCAGGAAAGACAUCACUCACAGAAGAAGCACCGGCUAACUCCGUGCCAGCAGCCGCGGUAAUACGGAGGGUGCGAGCGUUAAUCGGAAUUACUGGGCGUAAAGCGCGCGUAGGUGGCUUGAUAAGCCGGUUGUGAAAGCCCCGGGCUCAACCUGGGAACGGCAUCCGGAACUGUCAAGCUAGAGUGCAGGAGAGGAAGGUAGAAUUCCCGGUGUAGCGGUGAAAUGCGUAGAGAUCGGGAGGAAUACCAGUGGCGAAGGCGGCCUUCUGGACUGACACUGACACUGAGGUGCGAAAGCGUGGGUAGCAAACAGGAUUAGAUACCCCUGUAGUC
This 465-nucleotide ribosomal RNA is filed under the name Vreelandella stevensii. Its description in RNAcentral is "partial 16S ribosomal RNA". It matches the Rfam family "Bacterial small subunit ribosomal RNA", at positions 338 to 795 of the family's 1533-position model. The record is from RNAcentral. Lineage: Bacteria; Pseudomonadati; Pseudomonadota; Gammaproteobacteria; Oceanospirillales; Halomonadaceae.